AGACUCUAUACUCUAAUUUCUCAUUUAAAAGAAAUUGGACUGUUACAAAAUAAACAUGACAUGAACCCAGAAUUUAACUUACUAUUUUCUUACUGUUAUCCCAAAGACAUUACAUGAUAUUGAACACUUUGAGGUAAUUAUGGUACUGGGGGAGCAUAAUUGUUCCUACUAAUAGAAACAAAAUACUAAGGAUUUUUCUAGAAACUCUCCUUUCAAAAGCCAUUUACCUGGCUAAGGAUUUUUCUAGAAACUGUCCUUUCAAGAGCCAUUUACCUGGAAUAAAAGUGAUGUGUAUGAUAAACAGUUGGCUAUACAGACCCAAGAUGAAAUUCAAAAUAUGACUUCUGAAAAUUCUGAAUUCAAAAUCAAGUUUUUGAUACUUUAGGAUCAGCUAGAUGAUCAUCAUAAAUUUGUCUCCUUUCCACUUCAAUUUUUUUUCAUCUUCACCAAUCUACACUAUAUUCAAGCCAACUUACCAUUUCCCUUACUCCGUUUUCCCUGCAACUUCCCUAAGCUGUUAGUGUUAUUGUACUACUCUUCUUUAUGCCACUUAGGCUUGAAUUCUUGGCCCAAUUUCUUUCACUUCUGCAUGAAGUCACCAAAUGCCAGUGAUUCUGCUUCUAACAUAUUUCAGACAUCAUUUCUGUCCAUUCCCACUACCAGAAAGAAACUCUGUAUUAGUUUUUCUUUUACCUUUAUUGACCUUUUAUAAUAGCAUUUAUGGUGUGUUGAAUUGUGGACCCCCAAAAAUAUGUCCAAGUCUUAACCCUGGUGCCCAUAAAUGUGACCUUAUUUGGGAAAAGAGUCUCACAGAUGAAAUUAAGUUAAAGAUCUUACCCUGGAUUAACCAGGUAGAUGCUAAAUCGAAUAAAAAAGUGUCUGUACAGGAAGAGAAGAGGAAAAUCACAGAGAAGAAAGCCAUGUGAAGAUGGUAACAGACACUGGAGUCUGUAACCCCAAGUGUAAAGCGACGGGUUCUCCACCAGGUUACUUAAGGGUGUAUGUCCACUGCUUGAGCCCUGAAGACUGGGUGGUGAGCCAAGGUCUUAGUGCUCAGCCAAGGAACACCAUGUGCUGUGUUCCCUGAGAACACAAACAUUUGGGAGAGUACCUGGGGACAUACCAAGAAAAACACUCAUCACACACAGAGAAGAAAAGCCAGAAAAUUAGCUUAAAAGCAGCUUGAAGAUGGGUGGGGUAAGGGGGUGUGUGGGGCAAAUCUCCAGAGUUGUCCUGCUACCACCUAGGAAUGCCCUGUAUGUUAAGUCCUAAUAAACUCACCUACUCAUC
Molecule: long non-coding RNA, 1290 nt
Filed under: Pan troglodytes (chimpanzee)
Lineage: Eukaryota; Metazoa; Chordata; Mammalia; Primates; Hominidae
Description: bidirectional promoter lncRNA
Source: RNAcentral